AUUGAACGCUGGCGGCAGGCCUAACACAUGCAAGUCGAGCGGAUGAAGGGAGCUUGCUCCUGGAUUCAGCGGCGGACGGGUGAGUAAUGCCUAGGAAUCUGCCUGGUAGUGGGGGAUAACGUCCGGAAACGGGCGCUAAUACCGCAUACGUCCUGAGGGAGAAAGUGGGGGAUCUUCGGACCUCACGCUAUCAGAUGAGCCUAGGUCGGAUUAGCUAGUUGAUGGGGUAAAGGCCUACCAAGGCGACGAUCCGUAACUGGUCUGAGAGGAUGAUCAGUCACACUGGAACUGAGACACGGUCCAGACUCCUACGGGAGGCAGCAGUGGGGAAUAUUGGACAAUGGGCGAAAGCCUGAUCCGGCCAUGCCGCGUGUGUGAAGAAGGUCUUCGGAUUGUAAAGCACUUUAAGUUGGGAGGAAGGGCAGUAAGUUAAUACCUUGCUGUUUUGACGUUACCAACAGAAUAAGCACCGGCUAACUUCGUG
This 484-nucleotide ribosomal RNA is filed under the name uncultured bacterium. RNAcentral describes it as "partial 16S ribosomal RNA". It matches the Rfam family "Bacterial small subunit ribosomal RNA", at positions 30 to 507 of the family's 1533-position model. The record is from RNAcentral.